GAAUGAUAGAUAUACAUUCACCAACUUGAGGGGGAGUGUUGCAUAAUCAGGAGAAUUAUGUUAUAAUUAAGUGCAGAUUCCAUUUUAUAUUUAUUAGGACAGAUUUGUUAGUGAUUUGAUUUUAUUUGAUUUGUACAGCUUUAAACACUCAUUAUUUCUGGCUUUCAUUGCCUAUUAUUUCUUUCUUUAAUUAGGUUGUAAAACAGUCUAUAAAUAGAGACUGUAAUCACAUUUGUAAGAUAUCUCAGAAAUAUAUUUCAUC
This 262-nucleotide long non-coding RNA is filed under the name Phaseolus vulgaris (common bean). RNAcentral's name for it is "long non-coding RNA (PVUL_LNC001123)". The record is from RNAcentral. Lineage: Eukaryota; Viridiplantae; Streptophyta; Magnoliopsida; Fabales; Fabaceae.